CAGACUGUGAUAAUGUAUAGUUAACUAGAUAUUUAACAAAAUGUUUCAUCUAACGGUAAGGUUAACUUACAGUUGAACAUUUCUUUCAAAGCAGCGUUUUUAUUGAACUGCAGAUGCAAGUUUAACGUUACUAUUUCUGGGCAGUGGCUUACGUUAAUUCUGUAUAUUGUGCAUAUAACAUUAAUGUUGGAAACCCUUGUAACAUCAUAGUUAAAUCAGUAGGGAUGGGGAUCAAUAACCUUUACCAGGUUCUAAAAGGACCCGUUUCCAAAAUUUCUCGAAACCCGAAAAUCAAUAAGGUGCAAGCUUAUCGAUACUGCUAUCGAGACUAGCGGGUCCUAUAACUUUAUGUCUCAAGCGUCAAAUCUGAUUUAACUUGAAACGUGUUGGAUAAGAAAACUAAUGUUUUUUAUUGAUGGGGCCGAAACACGGUAUUAAACGGGCCGGUGUAGGUACCAGACUGAGACAGUUUAUAAGGAAGCUGCAGCCUCGCUGCUCUCUUUCGGCACCUACAUAGAUACACACACACACACACACACACACACACACACACACACACACACACACACACACACACACACACACACACACACACACACACAGCCAGCAGGCCAGCAGAGAGACUCAAACGCCGCUCCGUCACGGUGAAGACCGUGAAUUCAAGUUAACGUUAGCUCCAGACUAACGAUACUUGAGUUGACGACAGGUACGCUCAUUACUGUAAGUACGUGCAAUAAAACCUUAGCGAAUAAAAAUACAUUACUAUAUCAAUAACCUGUGUGUAGGGUAAACAUGUAGAAAGAGCUUAAGUUCACAGCUCUGCUGUUUCGUAGAAACCAUAGCCACUUUGUGUAGCCACUCUGUGAGGAGGGGUGGUAUCACAAAAAAGUGUCAAGUAGUGUCAGUGCAUACCCUCUAAUUCUAUUGACUGUCUGUUUCAGAAUAACCCUAAAACUAAUGCCUGACUUUUAUUUAUACUAUUAACACAUUGUUACAUGGGACUCCUUCUAUUUGCUGAUAGCGAAGUUAAUUUAUGUCAUUUUUACAACAGCCAAAGCAGCUCUGGAUUUCUGGCAUGGUGACUCAAGACAAUUCAGAGAAAGACAAAACCUUUGUCCAAGGAACUGAAAACGCAGACAACGGGAGGAGGUGGUCCAAGAAAUGAGAGGGAGCUGCCUUAGAUAAGUGGUCAGUUGGAUGAAGAGCGGUGUAAAGAGGUCAUAUCCUUGAUGAACCACAUCAGUGACCCAUGAGUACAGACAGCAUCUCAUCCAUCCACAAUCCUAAUGAAUCACACACCGUACUCUGUGGUUCCAAGACUGCUGGACACUAAAGAUAUGUCAAGAUUUUAGCCUGCUCUUUGGACCGGAAACAGCUGCCAAACUGCUUGAGAAGUGGUAUAUAGCCUACAAAGAAAAGGUGAUCAGAGAAGCAGAGAGUCGUACUACCACUCCAGUGCUCCAGAGUUUGGUGAAGUCUGCCAGGAAUCAGUACAAUGAUGAAUCUUCAGAGGAUAUCCCAGGUAUUCAAUUAAAGGCAGAUGAAAUGA
Long non-coding RNA from Micropterus dolomieu (smallmouth bass), 1549 nucleotides. RefSeq lists it as uncharacterized. The transcript is spliced from 2 exons. NCBI's taxonomy places the organism in Eukaryota, Metazoa, Chordata, Actinopteri, Centrarchiformes, Centrarchidae. The record is from RefSeq and is a predicted model, not a curated record.